UGGGCUCCAGGUUAGUCGGGAGCUAAGGUGAGGCCUAACGGCGUAGCCGAUGCACAGACGGUAGAGAUUCCGUCACCACCAAAAGAGUUAAACACAGGGACACAUUUGAAGUCUCGGAGCCGGGUGUUGGUUCCGGUAGCGAUCGAGGGAAAUUAGUACCGAAGUCCGGGAUGGAAGAUGGCGAGAAAAGCUGUGUGUAUUUCUGCGGUGCCCGUACCGCAAACCGACACAGGUAGGUAGGAAGAAGAUUCUAAGGCCAACGGGAGAAGGGUUGUUAAGGAACUCGGCAAAUUGACCCCGUAACUUCGGGAGAAGGGGUGCUUUAGAGAUAGAGCCGCAGAGAAUCGGCCCAAGCAACUGUUUACCAAAAACACAGGUUUGUGCUAAAUCGAAAGAUGACGUAUACGAGCUGACGCCUGCCCGGUGCUGGAAGGUUAAGAGGAGAUGUGCAAGCAUUGAAUCGAAGCCCCAGUGAACGGCGGCCGUAACAAUAACGGUCCUAAGGUAGCGAAAUUCCUUGUCAGGUAAGUUCUGACCCGCAUGAAAGGCGUAAUGAUUUGGGCACUGUCUCGACAGCCCGCCCGGCGAAAUUGUAGUACCGGUGAAGAUGCCGGUUACCCGCGACAAGACGGAAAGACCCCAUGGAGCUUUACUGUAGCCUAAUAUUGGGUUUCGAUGUUGCAUGCACAGGAUAGAUGGGACACUGGGAAGCAAGUGCUUUGGCAUUUGUGGAGUGGCCGUUGGGAUACCAUCCUUGCGAUAUUGGAAUUCUAACCUGCGCCUUUGAAUCAAGGCGGGGGACAUUGUUAGGUGGGCAGUUUGACUGGGGCGGUCGCCUCCUAAAGAGUAACGGAGGCGUUCAAAGGUUCGCUCAGCUUGAACGGAAAUCAAGCAAAAGAGUGCAAACGCAGAAGCGAGCCUAACUGCGAGACUGACGGGUCGAGCAGUAACGAAAGUUGGAGUUAGUGAUCCGGUGGUAUGUGAGUGGAAAUGCCAUCGCUCAACGGAUAAAAGUUACCCUGGGGAUAACAGGCUGAUCUCCCCCAAGAGUCCACAUCGACGGGGAGGUUUGGCACCUCGAUGUCGGCUCAUCGCAUCCUGGGGCUGUAUUCGGUCCCAAGGGUUUGGCUGUUCGCCAAUUAAAGCGGUACGCGAGCUGGGUUCAGAACGUCGUGAGACAGUUCGGUCCCUAUCUGUCGUGGGCGCAGGAUAUUUGAUGGGAGCUGUUCCUAGUACGAGAGGACCGGAGCGGACGUACCUCUGGCGCACCAGUUGUUCUGCCAAGGGCAUAGCUGGGCAACUAUGUACGGAUCGGAUAAACGCUGAAAGCAUCUAAGCGUGAAGCCGACCCAAAGAUAAGAUAUCCCAUUGUUUCAAACAAGUAAGACCCCUUGAAGACUACAAGGUUGAUAGGCAUGAUGUGUAAGUGGAGUGAUCCAUUCAGCAAGCGUGUACUAAUAGGUCGAGGGCUUGACC
Molecule: ribosomal RNA, 1476 nt
Filed under: metagenome
Description: bacterial LSU rRNA
Rfam family: Bacterial large subunit ribosomal RNA
Source: RNAcentral